UACGUAGGGGGCAAGCGUUGUCCGGAAUCAUUGGGCGUAAAGAGCGCGUAGGCGGUCCGGUAAGUCCGCUCUGAAAGUCCGGGGCUCAACCCCGGGAGGCGGGCGGAUACUGUCGGGCUAGAGUCCGGAAGAGGCGAGUGGAAUUCCUGGUGUAGCGGUGAAAUGCGCAGAUAUCAGGAGGAACACCGAUGGCGAAGGCAGUGUUCUGGGCCAGUACUGACGCUGAGGAGCGAAAGCGUGGGGAGCAAACAGG
Molecule: ribosomal RNA, 253 nt
Filed under: uncultured bacterium
Lineage: Bacteria
Description: partial 16S ribosomal RNA
Rfam family: Bacterial small subunit ribosomal RNA
Source: RNAcentral